This 439-nucleotide ribosomal RNA is filed under the name uncultured bacterium. RNAcentral describes it as "partial 16S ribosomal RNA". It matches the Rfam family "Bacterial small subunit ribosomal RNA", at positions 339 to 795 of the family's 1533-position model. The record is from RNAcentral.
CUACGGGCGGCUCCAGUGAGGAAUAUUGCACAAUGGGGGGAACCCUGAUGCAGCGACGCCGCGUGGAGGAUGACGCAUUUCGGUGUGUAAACUCCUUUUAUAUGUCAAGAAAAUGACGGUAGCAUAUGAAUAAGCACCGGCUAACUCCGUGCCAGCAGCCGCGGUAGUACGGAGGGUGCAAGCGUUACUCGGAAUCACUGGGCGUAAAGGACGCGUAGGCGGGUUGGAAAGUCAGGUGUGAAAUCCUACAGCUUAACUGUAGAACUGCACUUGAAACUUCUAAUCUAGAGUAUGGGAGGGGGAGAUGGAAUUAGUGGUGUAGGGGUAAAAUCCGUAGAUAUCACUAGGAAUACCUAAAGCGAAGGCGAUCUCCUGGAACAUUACUGACGCUAAGGCGUGAAAGCGUGGGGAGCAAACAGGAUUAGAUACCCCUGUAGUC